UGGAUUGAGUGCAGCGUUUCGUUUACAUUGCAUAUCCACUCACAGCUGAGGAUAGAAAAUAUAAACCCAAAACUCUUGGGAUUUCGCCCCUUUUAACAUUGCUGUUUUCUGUGCUUGUCCUCCGACUAGUACAAAUCGAAAUCGAACCAUAGCACAGUGCUCGCUUCUUCCUCCUGCUUUGUCUUCUCGACCUCCUACUUUCGUUUUCUGGUGGGAAUCACCAUUUCCGGCGAGGUUCCGGUCAUCUUCCUCAUCUCCGGCGAAACUCAAGCAAUUUCCGAUGUGACCCAGACUUCGUCCGGCGAGACCAUCUGCGUUAGAGCAUUUUUUUUCCGGUAUUCGUAUCUGAAUAAAUUGGUUACACUUCGGGGAGCAUAAGGUGCAGCUUUUCUGCUUGUACUUGAUGAGUUGGGAUAUUUUCAUUGGUCCCCAAAUCCACUGACUAUUGCCAAUUUGUAUAAAUUAUUAACAAAUUACCAAUUUGGAAUGAACCUGUUGUCAAGCUUCAGACACAGGGUCUUCCCACCAACUGUCUCACCCUUUGUCCUCUUCACCCAAAGGAGAUGGAAGAAACCUACGGUCUCAGCGCAGACCCGUUUGGAGGACAGGGUAAGGGACCCCUACCUUGACAAGUUCAUGACCCACCUUAAAAAACUCAAACUUGUUCUCGAAAUCCACCACCUCAUGUCAAAACGCAAGCGUGGUGCUUUUGUGUCCCUUCAGCUCAUGUCCCGUUGGAGAAACAUUUUAGGACUCAAUGUACCUAUUGGUUCCUUUGUCCACAAAUACCCUCACGUUUUUGAGGUGUUUGCGCACCCUCUCAGGAGGAACACGUGUUGUAGGAUUACAAGGAAGGUGAAAGAGUUGAUCUUGCUGGAAGGGGUUGCUGUGAAGCAGCAGGAGCUGGAGGCUGUGAAGAGCGUCAAGAAGUUGCUAAUGAUGUCUGUGAAUGGCACCCUUCAUGUACAUGCUUUGAGGUUGAUCAGAAGGGAACUGGGUCUUCCUGAGGAUUUCAGAGACUCCAUUCUUGGCAAGUAUAGUGGGGAAUUCAGAUUGAUUGAUUUGGAGGUUGUGGCACUGGUGGGUAUAGAUGAUGACUUGGGAGUGGCUCAGGUUGAGAAAUGGAGGGAGAAAGAGUAUACAGAGAAGUGGUUGAGUGAGUUUGAGACCAAGUUUGCGUUUCCCAUCAAUUUCCCAACAGGGUUUAAGAUUGAGAGAGGCUUCAGAGACAAGUUGAAGAAUUGGCAAAGGCUUCCCUAUACAAAGCCUUAUGAGAGGAAAGAGGUCAUUCAGGUUCGAACGUGUGGCGGGAUUGAGCGCUAUGAGAAGAGGGCUGUUGCUGUUCUUCAUGAGCUGUUGAGCCUGACUAUGGAGAAAAUGGUUGAGGUUGAUCACCUGGCUCAUUUUCGGAGGGACUUUGCGAUUGAAGUUAAUGUACGUGAACUAUUGUUAAGGCACCCUGGAAUAUUCUACAUAUCUACUAAAGGGAAAACUCUAACUGUUUUUCUUAGGGAAGCAUAUAGGAAAGGGAGUUUGGUUGAGCCUAAUCCUGUGUAUACAGCUCGAAGGAAUAUGUCAGACCUAGUAUUGUUAGGACGUAGGAAAACGAAACAGUUGUUAGCUUGUGAUAAAGUUAAGGAAGAGAAAAAUAUUGUAGUCCAUGAAAUAUAUGAGGAAGGUAAACGACAAGGAGAUUGGGUGAUUCCUUUCCUGGAGAAUUGUGAGGAGAAUAGAUCCCCAUGAUAUUGUGAGGAUGGCAGAGAGCAUAUUUGAAGAAAUUAUGAACACAGUUUUGGGCUUAUUGAGUUGAUUGGCUUCUACUUUUAGUCUCCUGUGCAAUGUUUCAUUUGUAUUCUAUUGAUAUCACUUGUCAUGUGGUGGCUAGAUGAGACAGACUUCACUGGUGGACAAAUCAUGAUUAAAAUUUCAAAUUGUGGAUGAUCUAGUGCAAGAGCACUAGAGCCUUAUAUCUUUAGGGAGGUUCUUGCAGAAGAGGAUUACAACAUCUGGAAGAACAAGUGUGAAUGACAAUCUUCUCAAGAAGUGAGGGAGUGACUUCAGACUUUUUACCACUUCAUUGUAGAAUAGGUUGGACUCUUUAAAAGGUGGCAAGUGGAGCAAUGGGAGUUGAGAGGACCAAGGAAGAAGCAUUAGAGCGGCAAAGAAUGUUUGCAAAGACGUGGGCUAGAAUGAAUGGUGGGGCCAUUGCUCCCAAGCAGCCAGAUGCUGACCAAAGUAUAGCUCACCUUAGGACCUUUAUCUGCUGCUUGUGCUUCUAGUUAGCUUGAUACUGUACAAUAAAGUGAUUCCAUUUUACCAUGCUGGGAGCUAUGUUUCACUAUGUAUGAUAGUUAAUAGGAUAGAAACAGUGAGAAAUGGUGCAAUGCAGGGGCUAUUGACUAGAGAAUAAUGGAAUUUUCAGAGUGAGAGUCUUUGUUACUUUCCUUAUGAUUAUUAUGGUUAUGUUUUUGUUACUAUCCUUGGG
This is an RNA transcript of Abrus precatorius (Indian licorice), 2485 nucleotides long. It is a transcript of the gene named protein ROOT PRIMORDIUM DEFECTIVE 1, with no coding region annotated. NCBI's taxonomy places the organism in Eukaryota, Viridiplantae, Streptophyta, Magnoliopsida, Fabales, Fabaceae. The record is from RefSeq and is a predicted model, not a curated record. The transcript has 3 exons.